This 781-nucleotide ribosomal RNA is filed under the name uncultured bacterium. Its description in RNAcentral is "bacterial SSU rRNA". It matches the Rfam family "Bacterial small subunit ribosomal RNA", at positions 10 to 796 of the family's 1533-position model. The record is from RNAcentral.
AGUUUGAUCAUGGCUCAGGACGAACGCUGGCGGCGUGCUUAACACAUGCAAGUCGAACGGUAAGGCCCUUCGGGGUACACGAGUGGCGAACGGGUGAGUAACACGUGGGUAAUCUGCCCUGCACAUCGGGAUAAGCCUGGGAAACUGGGUCUAAUACCGAAUAGGACCACAGGACACAUGUCCUGUGGUGGAAAGCUUUUGUGGUGUGGGAUGGGCCCGCGGCCUAUCAGCUUGUUGGUGGGGUGAUGGCCUACCAAGGCGACGACGGGUAGCCGGCCUGAGAGGGUGUCCGGCCACACUGGGACUGAGAUACGGCCCAGACUCCUACGGGAGGCAGCAGUGGGGAAUAUUGCACAAUGGGCGAAAGCCUGAUGCAGCGACGCCGCGUGGGGGAUGACGGCCUUCGGGUUGUAAACCUCUUUCACCAUCGACGAAGGUCCGGGUUUUCUCGGGCUGACGGUAGGUGGAGAAGAAGCACCGGCCAACUACGUGCCAGCAGCCGCGGUAAUACGUAGGGUGCGAGCGUUGUCCGGAAUUACUGGGCGUAAAGAGCUCGUAGGUGGUUUGUCGCGUUGUUCGUGAAAUCUCACGGCUUAACUGUGAGCGUGCGGGCGAUACGGGCAGACUUGAGUACUGCAGGGGAGACUGGAAUUCCUGGUGUAGCGGUGGAAUGCGCAGAUAUCAGGAGGAACACCGGUGGCGAAGGCGGGUCUCUGGGCAGUAACUGACGCUGAGGAGCGAAAGCGUGGGGAGCGAACAGGAUUAGAUACCCUGGUAGUCC